This 249-nucleotide ribosomal RNA is filed under the name uncultured bacterium. Its description in RNAcentral is "partial 16S ribosomal RNA". It matches the Rfam family "Bacterial small subunit ribosomal RNA", at positions 332 to 598 of the family's 1533-position model. The record is from RNAcentral.
UGGACCCUACGGGAGGCAGCAGUGGGGAAUAUUGCACAAUGGGGGAAACCCUGAUGCAGCAACGCCGCGUGGGUGAAGGAGCGUUUCGGCGCGUAAAGCCCUGUCAGCGGGGAAGAAGAAAGACGGUACCCGACCAAGAAGCCCCGGCUAACUACGUGCCAGCAGCCGCGGUAAUACGUAGGGAGCGAGCGUUGUCCGGAAUUACUGGGUGUAAAGGGAGCGUAGGCGGGCGAGAAAGUUGAAUGUUAA